Molecule: unclassified non-coding RNA, 2247 nt
Filed under: Melitaea cinxia (Glanville fritillary)
Lineage: Eukaryota; Metazoa; Arthropoda; Insecta; Lepidoptera; Nymphalidae
Description: misc RNA ENSMCXG00005022366.1
Source: RNAcentral
AUCGACGGGUCCCAAGAACAAAAUCUUAUGGAAAAAUAAGUUGAAAUCUGUUUUAUUAUUGAUUCGUAUUAAACAUGCAAAAAGCUACAUGGCAAUAUUUUUUAUUUAUUUAUUGGUCUUUUAUUUUUCUAAAUACUCAAGCGAACAUCAUCUUAUCUACAAUGUACUGCAGCGAACAAACAUGUAUUCACAUAUACGAGCUUGUUCUUUACACCCCGAAACCGCGCAUGCCGCGACCCAUCGUCAUUUACGUGUUUUUACUCGGCAAAGUCGAACAUUUUAGCAAGACAUCAAGAAUUCCUCGAGAAUUCGGUUUAAUAUCAUAAUUUCAGGUUUCGUGAGUAAUAAGUGACUGUAACAAUGUCUAGUGCAUCUAGAAAGAGAAAAUAUUAAAUUUCGCCCUUUUUUUGGAUAAAAUUAGUGACGAUCCAACUCCUUGUAGCAACGAGGACGAAGAAAUCUCUAAACAAGGUAAGUAUAUAUUAUUUUUUUUUCAUUAAGGUAAUUAGAAAAAUAGUUACUGGUGUUACUUUAUAAGUCUAGAAACUAAUUUACCAAAAUUAUCUAAAACGCGUAUCUUUUGGUCGUUUGUUAAUUUACAAUGUUGUUCUACAGAAAUCUAUAACCCAUGUAAUUGUUCUUUAAUAAUCAACAUAUUUCAUUUACUUAUAUUUUAUAGAGACUAAAAUACUUAAUUGUGGUGUAUUUAAUUUUACCCCAGUAGUUUCACAUAAGUUUUUAUUCGACAAAAAUCAGUUUAAAGUCAUUCAUUGCUUAAGCACAUACGAUCUUGUUGUACGAAAUUGUACCCAAAAAAUGUUGCUGUAUCGGAAUAAACGAUUUUGUUUGUCGAAUAAGUUUUAACAUGCGAGCAUGUUCUACUCAAAAGUAUCCAAUUUAACCUCUUUUUAAGAAAAAAUAUAUAACUAGAAUGUAAAUCAAUAGUUUUUAAAUAUAAUACCACACAAAUUAAAUACAUUUUUAUUUUCAUUUUGACAGAAUCUGCCGGUCAACGUAACACCAACACGUCUCCUUUACCGCCAGCGGCUUAGAAUAUCGACGUCGAUAUGGCAGAAAUUUGGCAUGAUGUUUUUGAUUAAAAGGUUCACACAAAUGUAUUAGGCUAUCAACACGAAGUUAACACCGAUAUUUUUCAGGCCAACUGCGAGCAUCUUGAUUCACCACCACCCAAUAGUCAAACCCCACAUCCUGACGAAGUGCUUACACCAUUAAAUAUAGAAGUAACCUCUAGUUUCAAUAACUCACCAACUGUUUACAUUGAAGAAUUUGAGAAUUUGAAGAUCCUAGAAUUUCUGCGCCAUAUAUAUACACAUAUGGUUUUAGCUACUCCAAUGCCUUCCCCCGUGAAUAUACACAUAAAAUGUAAUGACCCUUUUUGUCCCGAUCAUACUAGUUGGGUUGAUUCAAUUCGAUUGCUAAACAUUAGUGCAUCUAACUUAAUACCAGAAAUGACGCGAAAGCAAAGAUCAAAGAAACGCUUGGUACAUAAGCAAGACUGAUCUGACGUGAAAAGAAAAAGUUUGCUUGGAAAGAGCUAAAUAUCAAAGCGAGGUAAAUUUGUUGGUGAAAAAAUAAUGAGAAAGCCCUGUAGUUGUAGGAAUAAGUGUGUGGAUAAAAUAACAAAAGAACAAAGACUUGAAUGCUUCAAUAAACAACCACGCGUCAAUAUCGCGAAAUUGUAAAUAAAAACUAUAGAACUAGGAGCCAAAGAAUUUCGUUUCUGGUCAGAUAGUUUUGCUGGCCAAAAUUGGAAUAGAUUUGUCUUUUUUCAUAUUUGUAUGCAGCCAAAAAGUACAAGGCAUCAAUCACACAUCGACUUCUUGAAAAGGGAUAUACACAGAACAAGGGAGACAAUGUGCAUGCCCUUAUAGAGCGGUCCUCUUCUUCAAAAACUAUUUACACACUAGAUGAAUGGCGUUUACUUGUAAGAUGAUGUACAAAAACAAAAGGAAAACCGUAUGUAGUAAAAAAUAUGACACAAGAAAAUUUUCAUAAUUUUAAGGUUCACGUAAAUGACAAAUUGUGAAACAAGAAUUUUAGACAACAGAAAAUAUUGUGGACUAAGAUUAAGGAAGUUUUCGUUGAUAAAUCGGAACCGAAUAAACUGUAUUAUAUGUGUGAUUUAAACCAAAGAAUAUAGACACCCCCUCUCUUCCCGUGAGUGUCGUAAGAGGCGACUAAGGGAUAACAAGGUUCCACUACCACCUUGGAACUUAAGAAGCCGAC